This 1110-nucleotide ribosomal RNA is filed under the name Pigmentiphaga sp. RNAcentral's name for it is "bacterial SSU rRNA". It matches the Rfam family "Bacterial small subunit ribosomal RNA", at positions 56 to 1171 of the family's 1533-position model. Lineage: Bacteria; Pseudomonadati; Pseudomonadota; Betaproteobacteria; Burkholderiales; Alcaligenaceae. The record is from RNAcentral.
UGCAGUCGACGGCAGCGCGGACUUCGGUCUGGCGGCGAGUGGCGAACGGGUGAGUAAUGCAUCGGAACGUGCCCAGUAGCGGGGGAUAACUACGCGAAAGCGUAGCUAAUACCGCAUACGCCCUACGGGGGAAAGGGGGGGAUCGCAAGACCUCUCACUAUUGGAGCGGCCGAUGUCGGAUUAGCUAGUUGGUGGGGUAAAGGCCUACCAAGGCGACGAUCCGUAGCUGGUUUGAGAGGACGACCAGCCACACUGGGACUGAGACACGGCCCAGACUCCUACGGGAGGCAGCAGUGGGGAAUUUUGGACAAUGGGGGCAACCCUGAUCCAGCCAUGCCGCGUGUGCGAAGAAGGCCUUCGGGUUGUAAAGCACUUUUGGCAGGAAAGAAACGGCGCCGGCUAAUAUCUGGCGUAACUGACGGUACCUGCAGAAUAAGCACCGGCUAACUACGUGCCAGCAGCCGCGGUAAUACGUAGGGUGCAAGCGUUAAUCGGAAUUACUGGGCGUAAAGCGUGCGCAGGCGGUUCGGAAAGAAAGAUGUGAAAUCCCAGGGCUCAACCUUGGAACUGCAUUUUUAACUCCCGAACUAGAGUGUGUCAGAGGGGGGUGGAAUUCCACGUGUAGCAGUGAAAUGCGUAGAUAUGUGGAGGAACACCGAUGGCGAAGGCAGCCCCCUGGGAUAACACUGACGCUCAUGCACGAAAGCGUGGGGAGCAAACAGGAUUAGAUACCCUGGUAGUCCACGCCCUAAACGAUGUCAACUAGCUGUUGGGUUCUUCGGAGCUUGGUAGCGCAGCUAACGCGUGAAGUUGACCGCCUGGGGAGUACGGUCGCAAGAUUAAAACUCAAAGGAAUUGACGGGGACCCGCACAAGCGGUGGAUGAUGUGGAUUAAUUCGAUGCAACGCGAAAAACCUUACCUACCCUUGACAUGUCUGGAAUCCCGAAGAGAUUUGGGAGUGCUCGAAAGAGAACCGGAACACAGGUGCUGCAUGGCCGUCGUCAGCUCGUGUCGUGAGAUGUUGGGUUAAGUCCCGCAACGAGCGCAACCCUUGUCAUUAGUUGCUACGAAGGGCACUCUAAUGAGACUGCCGGUGACAACCGGAGGAA